This 243-nucleotide long non-coding RNA is filed under the name Physcomitrium patens. RNAcentral's name for it is "long non-coding RNA (PPAT_LNC006559)". Lineage: Eukaryota; Viridiplantae; Streptophyta; Bryopsida; Funariales; Funariaceae. The record is from RNAcentral.
GCCGUGAAGGAAGGAUUUAACGGUGAAGAGAUUACUUUCCACUUGCGGUACACAUGGGAGUACAUUGACUGGAACGAAUGCUUGGUCCCUGUUACCAACCUUGGCAUCGAUGUCACCAACCCUACUGGCUUUGGCGAAAACCUUAUUGAGUUCACGGUUGACGGAUGUGGCGACGCUGAUCCUAACUCAGAGGAGUGCCUUGACACCCGGGUGGCUUAUCUCAAUGCUCCUGAAGGAGGUGAG